RNAcentral lists this ribosomal RNA (496 nucleotides) under uncultured bacterium. RNAcentral describes it as "partial 16S ribosomal RNA". It matches the Rfam family "Bacterial small subunit ribosomal RNA", at positions 29 to 507 of the family's 1533-position model. The record is from RNAcentral.
ACGAACGCUGGCGGCGUGCCUAAUCCAUGCAAGUAGCACGCUGAAGCUUGGUGCUUGCACCGAGCGGAUGAGUUGCGAACGGGUGAGUAACGCGUAGGUAACCUGCCUGGUAGCGGGGGAUAACUAUUGGAAACGAUAGCUAAUACCGCAUAAGAGUAGAUGUUGCAUGACAUUUGCUUAAAAGGUGCAAUUGCAUCACUACCAGAUGGACCUGCGUUGUAUUAGCUAGUUGGUGAGGUAACGGCUCACCAAGGCAACGAUACAUAGCCGACCUGAGAGGGUGAUCGGCCACACUGGGACUGAGACACGGCCCAGACUCCUACGGGAGGCAGCAGUAGGGAAUCUUCGGCAAUGGACGGAAGUCUGACCGAGCAACGCCGCGUGAGUGAAGAAGGUUUUCGGAUCGUAAAGCUCUGUUGUAAGAGAAGAACGAGUGUGAGAGUGGAAAGUUCACACUGUGACGAUAUCUUACCAGAAAGGGACGGCUAACUACGUG